CCUACGGGUGGCUGCAGUGGGGAAUAUGGGACAAUGGGGGCAACCCUGAUCCAGCCAUGCCGCGUGUGUGAAGAAGGCCCUCGGGUUGUAAAGCACUUUCAGUGAGGAAGAACGCCUGGUGGUUAAUACCCAUCAGGAAAGACAUCACUCACAGAAGAAGCACCGGCUAACUCCGUGCCAGCAGCCGCGGUAAUACGGAGGGUGCGAGCGUUAAUCGGAAUUACUGGGCGUAAAGCGCGCGUAGGUGGCUUGAUAAGCCGGUUGUGAAAGCCCCGGGCUCAACCUGGGAACGGCAUCCGGAACUGUCAAGCUAGAGUGCAGGAGAGGAAGGUAGAAUUCCCGGUGUAGCGGUGAAAUGCGUAGAGAUCGGGAGGAAUACCAGUGGCGAAGGCGGCCUUCUGGACUGACACUGACACUGAGGUGCGAAAGCGUGGGUAGCAAACAGGAUUAGAUACCCUUGUAGUC
RNAcentral lists this ribosomal RNA (465 nucleotides) under Vreelandella stevensii. RNAcentral describes it as "partial 16S ribosomal RNA". It matches the Rfam family "Bacterial small subunit ribosomal RNA", at positions 338 to 795 of the family's 1533-position model. Lineage: Bacteria; Pseudomonadati; Pseudomonadota; Gammaproteobacteria; Oceanospirillales; Halomonadaceae. The record is from RNAcentral.